This 765-nucleotide ribosomal RNA is filed under the name Streptomyces sp. RNAcentral's name for it is "bacterial SSU rRNA". It matches the Rfam family "Bacterial small subunit ribosomal RNA", at positions 94 to 871 of the family's 1533-position model. Lineage: Bacteria; Bacillati; Actinomycetota; Actinomycetes; Kitasatosporales; Streptomycetaceae. The record is from RNAcentral.
AGUGGCGAACGGGUGAGUAACACGUGGGCAAUCUGCCCUGCACUCUGGGAUAAGCCCGGGAAACUGGGUCUAAUACCGGAUACGACACUCCGAGGCAUCUUGGGGUGUGGAAAGUUCCGGCGGUGCAGGAUGAGCCCGCGGCCUAUCAGCUUGUUGGUGGGGUAAUGGCCUACCAAGGCGACGACGGGUAGCCGGCCUGAGAGGGUGACCGGCCACACUGGGACUGAGACACGGCCCAGACUCCUACGGGAGGCAGCAGUGGGGAAUAUUGCACAAUGGGCGAAAGCCUGAUGCAGCGACGCCGCGUGAGGGAUGACGGCCUUCGGGUUGUAAACCUCUUUCAGCAGGGAAGAAGCGAAAGUGACGGUACCUGCAGAAGAAGCACCGGCUAACUACGUGCCAGCAGCCGCGGUAAUACGUAGGGUGCGAGCGUUGUCCGGAAUUAUUGGGCGUAAAGAGCUCGUAGGCGGUUUGUCGCGUCGAUUGUGAAAGCCCGGGGCUUAACCCUGGGUCUGCAGUCGAUACGGGCAGGCUAGAGUUCGGCAGGGGAGACUGGAAUUCCUGGUGUAGCGGUGAAAUGCGCAGAUAUCAGGAGGAACACCGGUGGCGAAGGCGGGUCUCUGGGCCGAUACUGACGCUGAGGAGCGAAAGCGUGGGGAGCGAACAGGAUUAGAUACCCUGGUAGUCCACGCCGUAAACGGUGGGCACUAGGUGUGGGCAACAUUCCACGUUGUCCGUGCCGCAGCUAACGCAUUAAGUGCCCCG